UCAGAGGGUCGGGUAAUCGCGGAAGUCUUUCAAGACUUUCCGAGGAAAGUCCGGGCUCCAUUGAAGCAGGAUGCCGGAUAACAUCCGGCGGGCCAGUUUUCGGACUGGUUCAGGGAAAGUGCAACAGAAAGCAAACCGCCCUGAUUGGUCAGGGUAAGGGUGAAAAGGUGCGGUAAGAGCGCACCGCCGGUCUGGCAACAGGCCGGGCAUGGUAAACCCCAUCCGGAGCAAGACCAAAUAGGGACGGCCUAUGGUGAGCUUCAACACCGCCGUCCGGGUCGGUCGCAUGAGGUGGCGGGUAACCGUCAUCCCAGAUGAAUGAUUACCACCCGAAAGGGGACAGAACCCGGCUUACAGACCCUCUGACGCC
This 370-nucleotide RNase P RNA is filed under the name Hellea balneolensis. RNAcentral describes it as "RNase P RNA component class A". It matches the Rfam family "Bacterial RNase P class A". Rfam says of the family: Ribonuclease P (RNase P) is a ubiquitous endoribonuclease, found in archaea, bacteria and eukarya as well as chloroplasts and mitochondria. Its best characterised activity is the generation of mature 5'-ends of tRNAs by cleaving the 5'-leader elements of precursor-tRNAs. Lineage: Bacteria; Pseudomonadati; Pseudomonadota; Alphaproteobacteria; Maricaulales; Robiginitomaculaceae. The record is from RNAcentral.